RNAcentral lists this unclassified non-coding RNA (487 nucleotides) under Hevea brasiliensis (rubber tree). The record is from RNAcentral. Lineage: Eukaryota; Viridiplantae; Streptophyta; Magnoliopsida; Malpighiales; Euphorbiaceae.
GGAGAAAGCAUUGGGUCUCUUUUUAACAGCAAAAAGAAACCUAACAAUAAUGCCGCUUCAAAAUCUCAGCCUCUCAAAAAAGCUAAGAUUAAGAAAGAAGAAAAAGAUGAUGAUUUCGAAGAACCCAUUUCGAAAAAGAGUCCAAAAAUUGUUAAGCCCAAGAAGGAAGAACCUUCACCCGUGUCAAAGAAAAGUUCGAGUAGAACUGAUAAAAAAGUUGUAAAGAAAGAGGAAGAGGAUAAGAAGAAAGGAACCAAAAAUGGAGACACCGUUGUGAAGAAGAAGGAAAAGAAAGUUUAUGAUUUGCCUGGACAGAGAGACGCUCCUGAGGAAAGAGACCCUUUAAGGAUUUUCUAUGAAUCCUUGUAUCAGCAAGUGCCAGAAAGUGAACUAGCAGCUAUUUGGAUGAUGGAGUCAGGUUUGCUUCCAAAGGACUUGGCGAAGAAAGUUUUUGAGAAGAAACAAAAGAAGGCCCAGCAGCUAAAGC